UGGUGGCGAGUGGCGAACGGGUGAGUAAUGCAUCGGAACGUGCCAUUGAGUGGGGGGUAACGUAGCGAAAGUUACGCUAAUACCGCAUAUUCUGUGAGGCAGGAAAGCAGGGGAUCGCAAGACCUUGCGCUCUUUGAGCGGCCGAUGUCAGAUUAGCUAGUUGGUGAGGUAACGGCUUACCAAGGCGACGAUCUGUAGCGGGUCUGAGAGGAUGAUCCGCCACACUGGAACUGAGACACGGUCCAGACUCCUACGGGAGGCUAGCAGUGGGGAAUUUUGGACAAUGGGGGCAACCCUGAUCCAGCCAUGCCGCGUGAGUGAAGAAGGCCUUCGGGUUGUAAAGCUCUUUCGGCCGGGAAGAAAUCGCAUGGGUUAAUACCCUGUGUGGAUGACGGUACCGGCAUAAGAAGCACCGGCUAACUACGUG
Molecule: ribosomal RNA, 427 nt
Filed under: uncultured bacterium
Lineage: Bacteria
Description: bacterial SSU rRNA
Rfam family: Bacterial small subunit ribosomal RNA
Source: RNAcentral